CUCUGUGCCACAGCUGCUUGUAAAUACCCAAUCUCGUCAGAGCUCAGGAGCUAAGCAAGGCCGGGCCUGGUUAGUACUUGGAUUGGAGACUGCUGGGACUCCAGGUGACACAGUGG
RNAcentral lists this ribosomal RNA (116 nucleotides) under Periophthalmus magnuspinnatus. Lineage: Eukaryota; Metazoa; Chordata; Actinopteri; Gobiiformes; Gobiidae. The record is from RNAcentral.